GCCCUCAUCGUUCAAUGGUAGGACACUUGAUUUUCAAUCAAGGAAUAUGAGUUCAAUUCUCAUUGGGGGCG
Molecule: transfer RNA, 71 nt
Filed under: Spirochaetota bacterium
Lineage: Bacteria; Pseudomonadati; Spirochaetota
Description: Spirochaetes bacterium tRNA-Glu
Rfam family: tRNA
About the family: Transfer RNA (tRNA) molecules are approximately 80 nucleotides in length. Their secondary structure includes four short double-helical elements and three loops (D, anti-codon, and T loops). Further hydrogen bonds mediate the characteristic L-shaped molecular structure. tRNAs have two regions of fundamental functional importance: the anti-codon, which is responsible for specific mRNA codon recognition, and the 3' end, to which the tRNAs corresponding amino acid is attached (by aminoacyl-tRNA synthetases). tRNAs cope with the degeneracy of the genetic code in two manners: having more than one tRNA (with a specific anti-codon) for a particular amino acid; and 'wobble' base-pairing, i.e. permitting non-standard base-pairing at the 3rd anti-codon position.
Source: RNAcentral